Molecule: long non-coding RNA, 570 nt
Organism: Poeciliopsis prolifica (blackstripe livebearer)
Lineage: Eukaryota; Metazoa; Chordata; Actinopteri; Cyprinodontiformes; Poeciliidae
Exons: 3
Source: RefSeq, a predicted model, not a curated record
AUCAGAACCGUCACCUGGUGUCCUCUGUCCACCAGUGUUUCCAGUACCGAUUUCAUGUUCAUCCAGUGGCUGGCCUCAGUGUACCACCAUUUGAGUUUUCUGCAUCACAAAGUAGCAGCAGGACGCAGACAGAGAGACGCAGCUCCAUGGAGGCUGUGUGUGUAAAUAAACCAGCUGCGGUCUUUGUAACAGCUGUAUCUUAAAGGUACUGAUUAACUAAAUGAACUUUGACCUUCUGUGCUUUGUACAAAUUAAGCAAGAUAAUAGGCUCACUCCAUAAAAACUGUUGUAAAUAAAAGGCAAAUACAUAGCACCGUGAGUAGGAAUUCUUUUGUUUGCUCUCUGCGUUUAUGACAUCGUCUCUCCAGGAACGCCGUCUGCACAACGACCAACUGGACAGCGUCUGACUUCGGAGCGACCUCUGACCUCCGGGGUUACAAGUUAAGCGGGCACAUCGAGCCGUUUCUCUGUCAGGCCUCUGGCCUCGGAGCUGUCACUCCUGGAUCCGGGCGACGGCGCCUCGGUGUCGCUGUUGGCGGUCCAGGUUUGGGGAGGCGAGUGCAGCCGCUC